RNAcentral lists this transfer RNA (81 nucleotides) under Paragonimus heterotremus. It matches the Rfam family "tRNA". From Rfam's summary of the family: Transfer RNA (tRNA) molecules are approximately 80 nucleotides in length. Their secondary structure includes four short double-helical elements and three loops (D, anti-codon, and T loops). Lineage: Eukaryota; Metazoa; Platyhelminthes; Trematoda; Plagiorchiida; Troglotrematidae. The record is from Rfam by way of RNAcentral.
AGCUUCGUAGCUCAGCUGGUAGAGCGCUUGCUGCGUAGAGGCAUUGUGUUUCUGUCGCUGGUACGAAUCCAGCCGAAGCCG